This 253-nucleotide ribosomal RNA is filed under the name uncultured bacterium. RNAcentral's name for it is "partial 16S ribosomal RNA". It matches the Rfam family "Bacterial small subunit ribosomal RNA", at positions 524 to 776 of the family's 1533-position model. The record is from RNAcentral.
UACGUAGGGUGCAAGCGUUAAUCGGAAUUACUGGGCGUAAAGGGCGCGUAGGCGGCCUUCUAAGUCGAACGUGAAAUCCCUGGGCUCAACCCAGGAACUGCGUCCGAUACUGGAAGGCUUGAAUCCGGGAGAGGGAUGCGGAAUUCCUGGUGUAGAGGUGAAAUUCGUAGAUAUCAGGAGGAACACCAGUGGCGAAGGCGGCUUUCUGGACGGUAACUGACGCUGAGACGCGAAAGCGUGGGGAGCAAACAGG